ACACUAUUUUCUUUAUUUCAAGUUCCACCAUUUAUGUUUGGUUUAAAUAUUAACUUUUUUAUAUCUCUCUCCAAUUAAUAAACUUAGCAUUCUUUUUCUCCUGGAUAAUAUUUUGGGUAGAAUCUCUACAAGAGUUUCAGUUCUUACAUGUUGACUUGGGUUUUUUGAUUGUUUGCUUUUUUUCCUUUUUUUCUGAGUUAAACAUGGUGUAGGAUGUUUUACUCCUAUAUUGAAGAAAAAGGAAAGGUCUUAUAAUUAACUCAAUGUGUUUGGUAGAAGUCAAGUUUUCUAAGUGACUCAUGAUUGAUCUUUCUGUAAUGGAAUUUACCACCUCUGCAUGGUAUCUUUCUAGUUUAAACUGUAUCUCAGAGAACACUUGUUGGAGAGUUACCACACGUGCUCUUACAAACUUCAAUACUAAGGCUAUGAAAUGCGCAAGGUGUUCUGGAAGUAAUGAUGAUUUGAUUUUAAACAAUAUUUUUCUCGUUAAUCCUAGAAGGUGACUUGAGAAAGGAAAAGGUGCUUGACAGGGCCAAAUAGUUCAAUUUACCGAGGAGUGCUUCCAGAGUAGCAAGGAGAUAAAGGGUAAAGCCAAGUUCAAAGAAAAGAGUGGUUUUGAGAGGGGAAAGCAUGCAGGGGAGGCCCUCUGUGAUAGUGAGUGCACAGAAGGAGUUGAGGUCAUUUGUUGAGAGGAGAAAGAUGCAAAGCUCUUGCAGAUCUAGCUGCCAGAUUCUUUAUUUCCCACACUCUUCUGGAGGCUACUGGUGGUGCAGAUGGCAUGGGAACUGUGUAUGUGCUCUAAGUCUGUUUCACUGCUGUGUGAUGCCACUUAAUUUAAGCCACCUUGAGCAAUGAAUUUGUGUUGAAAUGGACUAUGAAUGCUUGCAUGAUGUCUUGAACAGCUCAAUGAACACCAACAGCUACUUGUUACAAGUUCUUAACCAUCUCCAACUAAAUCAGCCAGAACAUGUCUUUUUAUGCCCUGAGUCUUUUCAGUUUAGUUGUAUGUUUUACAUGUUAAAUUCCUCAGAGAUUUAUAACUGCAUUGUCUAUGAAUUUAAAAUUGUAAGCUAUAUGCAUGUGUGUAUAUGAAUUUAUAGUCCUAACCUACGUAUGUAGGAAUAUAUGGUCAUAUAUACAUAUAAAUCCAGUUUGGACUUAGCAGCUUCACAUUUUUUUCCAGUUAUUUUGAUUUUUUUACAUCUGUGUAGUUGUUAAUAAUGUAGCACUGAUUGUCUACUUGAAGGGGUUUUGAUCAGAGAAUUUAAUUACUUUGGGGAUUUGUUAAGAUGAGAACAGAAGAUGAUACUGGCUUCUAAAUGUUUAUUGGAAAAGCUGCUGGGCUUUUUUUUUUGAUGUUGUAAAUAGGUUUAUUUUGUUUUCAAAAUUUAAAAUGAAGUAGUUAGGCCCAUCAUUUCUGCAGAAGGAUUUGUAAUAACGCUCAAGUAAUUCUAGAGAGAAGGAAAGCAUGGCUUCCUCUAGUUUUUGAUAUAUACAUCUGACUGGAGAGAAAAAUUUAAUUUUUCUUGGAAAACUUCCACUAUUCUUAUAGGUAGAACUGGAAAAUAUUCAGAACGUCAUGUUAAGUAAAUUAAUUUUUCACUUGUAUUCUCAUCAACAUUAAUUAUUACAUAAUGAGAUUGAUGUUUGUUAUGAAUAGUAUAAUUCUUGGUGGCAUAACUCAUUCAUGCUGUUCUGCUGUUCAGAAGCAGUAAAUCUUCUAAAGGAUUGACUUCCAACUUAGGUGGAGGAGGGUCCCAACAAGCAAACAAAAAAUUGCUCAUGGCAUGUUUGAAUCAUUAUGUGGUAAAUUUGUGUUAUUUUCUCACUUAACAGGUAUCACUUGGUUUGCACAAAUGUUAUGUGUACUAUACUGAAUAAGUUAGCAACUAUUUACAUAUUUAUUAUAUUUGUACUUGUAAAUUGACUGUAAAAAAGACCAGCCUGAAAGCUGAACAGUUGGACUUAUCAGUAUGUAGAAACAUUCAUAUCCGAGUAGAUUGAAGGGUUAAUAUGUUCCAUUAGAAUUUUUUGCAAGAAAUGUGAAGCAUUGCUUGACCUACAGUAUUGUAGAGUUUUGUUUUUGUUCUGUUUAUCUUAGUACAUUUGAGCAGAAUAAGCUGUAAGGAAACCUCAGCUGUAACUUAAUGGGAAGUUAGGCACAGUUAUGAGAAGAUUUGCCUUUUACUUGGUUGGUUUUAUUCCAUACAGACUCUAUCUACUAAUAAAAUGCACCUUGAUAAGGUGUUUAUCUUAGCAGACCAAAAAUGUAAGGCUGAGAGUAUCUACAAUAACUCCCUCUGCCUUUGUUUAGUUGUGCUGGCUAUGAAGUUGCUUCAUUCAAUGUUUUCAGGCUGUUCCAAUGGUAAUACGAUGGAAAUUAAUUUACACCAAGUAAAUAGGAAUUUUUGUGCUAUGGCAGUGUGUCCAGGUUAAAUUUAAAAGAUCCUGUUUUAGGAUAUGCAAAAAUAAAAAGCUAACUCCUAACUGCCUUCAUCAGUGUGUCGAUAUAAACAAACAGCGUUGACUGUAAUGACUCAUCUGUCAUACCUCAUUCCCAAAAUAUACACUAAGCCACUCCCGAGUGGCUUAUUUAGUAUUUUAAAAUAUAGAUACAGAUGCAGCAUUGUAGAAUUUUUCUUUUAAGACCUUGGAAAGGCUAAAACAUCUGCAUCGCCUCAACCACUUUUCUCAGCAACUGUGAGGAAUUCUCAAAAUAUCUUCUGGUGAACUCAUUCACACAGCUGUAGCUAUGCCUGAUUACCCAGAUUAAUAUGAGUGAAAGGUAAUGAAAGUCAAAUUUUCCUCUGUGCACACUGUUAUUUUCAUAUACAGCUACUAAUGCAUUUGCCCGCUUUCUUCCAAAGUUUCCUCUCUUUUUCAUUUUUAUUAAUUCAUUUUGUAAAUAAAAUUCACCAAUUGCUUGUGCCUAACAGAAGAGUUCUACAAUUUGCUGCCUCUGUAUUACCUGGAAGGAGACAAGUCUCUUGCACUCUGCUCAAAUGAAAGCUUGAAGCCUUUAUAAGUAAUAUAUAGUAAGUGGCCUGAAAAGUAAUACUUGCAUAUAGUAAUUGGGUUGCUUUCCCUUGCAGCUCAGUUAAGGUUUUCAGUUAAAAAAAAAAAGCCAACAAAAAAAAAAGGGAUUAAUAAC
This is a non-coding RNA of Lonchura striata (white-rumped munia), 3151 nucleotides long. NCBI's taxonomy places the organism in Eukaryota, Metazoa, Chordata, Aves, Passeriformes, Estrildidae. The record is from RefSeq and is a predicted model, not a curated record.